This is a long non-coding RNA of Bufo bufo (common toad), 229 nucleotides long. RefSeq lists it as uncharacterized. The transcript has 3 exons. NCBI's taxonomy places the organism in Eukaryota, Metazoa, Chordata, Amphibia, Anura, Bufonidae. The record is from RefSeq and is a predicted model, not a curated record.
GAGUCUGGGAGCUAUGAUCCCCCGCCACCAGAGGAAUGCUCAACAUGUGAACCAUAUGUUCCCACAUUUGAUCGCUGUGAUUGCUUUGUAAAUGAAUACGCGAAUGAUGAAAACUGUUUGCAACAUGCGUUGGAGAGUGUCCCGCAACUGCUGGAAAUUGGAAAGAAAUUGAUCUGUAAGCACAGAAGGAACGAGUUGGAUAAAAGAUUUGAAUACUACGAAGCAUUUG